AAGUUGGUUAAUUUAUGAUGGAAACUAGGAAACACAUAGUCUCAAAAUGUGAAUUCGGGGGUUCGACUCCCCACCAACUAA
This 81-nucleotide transfer RNA is filed under the name Davallia solida var. fejeensis. RNAcentral's name for it is "tRNA-Arg". The record is from RNAcentral. Lineage: Eukaryota; Viridiplantae; Streptophyta; Polypodiopsida; Polypodiales; Davalliaceae.